Small nuclear RNA from Protopterus annectens (West African lungfish), 107 nucleotides. Lineage: Eukaryota; Metazoa; Chordata; Ceratodontiformes; Protopteridae. The record is from RefSeq and is a predicted model, not a curated record.
AGAGCUUGUUUCAUGAUCAGUGCACUGAAACUGGAAUAAUAUAGAGAAUGUUAGCAGGGCCCCUGUUUAAGGAGGACAUGGACAUUUAUGCAUCAUUCAUUGUUUUU